Molecule: ribosomal RNA, 253 nt
Filed under: uncultured bacterium
Lineage: Bacteria
Description: partial 16S ribosomal RNA
Rfam family: Bacterial small subunit ribosomal RNA
Source: RNAcentral
UACGGAGGAGGCAGGCGUUAUCCGGAAUUAUUGGGCGUAAAGCGUCCGUAGGUGGUUGUCCAAGUCUGCUGUCAAAGGGUGGGGCUUAACCUCAUAAAGGCAGUGGAAACUGGCGAGCUAGAGUGCGGUAGGGGUAGGGGGAAUUCCCAGUGUAGCGGUGAAAUGCGUAGAGAUUGGGAAGAACAUCGGUGGCGAAAGCGCCCUGCUGGGCCUGCACUGACUCUGAGGCACCAAAGCUAGCGGAGCGACAGGG